CCUUACCUGGGCUUGACAUCCACAGAACUUUCCCGAGAUGGACUGGUGCCUUCGUGUUCUUUGAGACAGGUGCUGUCUGGCUGUCGUCAUCUCGUGUUGUGAUAUGUUGGGUUAAGUCCCGCAGCGAGCGCAUCGCUUAUCCUUUGUUGCCAGCGAUUAGGUCGGGAACUCAAAGGAGUCUGCCAGUGAUAAACUGGAGGAAGGUGGGGAUGACGUCAAGUCAUCAUGGCCCUUACGACCAGGGCUACGCGCGUGCUACAAUGGCGCAUACAAAGAGAAGCGACCUCGCGAGAGCAAGCGGACCUCAUAAAGUGCGUCGUAGUCCGGAUUGGAGUUUGCAACUCGACUCCAUGAAGUCGGAUUCGCUAGUCAUCGUGGAUCAGAAU
RNAcentral lists this ribosomal RNA (386 nucleotides) under Salmonella enterica subsp. enterica serovar Typhimurium. RNAcentral describes it as "bacterial SSU rRNA". It matches the Rfam family "Bacterial small subunit ribosomal RNA", at positions 969 to 1355 of the family's 1533-position model. The record is from RNAcentral. Lineage: Bacteria; Pseudomonadati; Pseudomonadota; Gammaproteobacteria; Enterobacterales; Enterobacteriaceae.